GGGAUUGCGGGCAGCCUACACAUGCAGUCCGGACGGUAGCACAGAAGGAAGCUUGCUCCCUCCGGGUGACGAAGUGGCGGACGGGUGAGUAAUGUCUGGGAAACUGCCCGAUGGAGGGGGAUAACUACUGGAAACGGUAGCUAAUACCGCAUAACGUCGCAAGACCAAAGUGGGGGACCUUCGGGCCUCACACCAUCGGAUGUGCCCAGAUGGGAUUAGCUUGUAGGCGGGGUAACGGCCCACCUAGGCGACGAUCCCUAGCUGGUCUGAGAGGAUGACCAGCCACACUGGAACUGAGACACGGUCCAGACUCCUACGGGAGGCAGCAGUGGGGAAUAUUGCACAAUGGGCGCAAGCCUGAUGCAGCCAUGCCGCGUGUAUGAAGAAGGCCUUCGGGUUGUAAAGUACUUUCAGCGGGGAGGAAGGUGUUGAGGUUAAUAACCUCAGCAAUUGACGUUACCCGCAAAAGAAGCACCGGCUAACUCCGUGCCAGCAGCCGCGGUAAUACGGAGGGUGCAAGCGUUAAUCGGAAUUACUGGGCGUAAAGCGCACGCAGGCGGUCUGUUAAGUCAGAUGUGAAAUCCCCGGGCUUAACCUGGGAACUGCAUUUGAAACUGGCAAGCUUGAGUCUCGUAUAGGGGGGUAGAAUUCCAGGGGAACAGCCUAAAUGCCGACAUAUUUGACGGAAUGCACUACCGUG
This 700-nucleotide ribosomal RNA is filed under the name Pantoea stewartii. RNAcentral's name for it is "bacterial SSU rRNA". It matches the Rfam family "Bacterial small subunit ribosomal RNA", at positions 33 to 717 of the family's 1533-position model. Lineage: Bacteria; Pseudomonadati; Pseudomonadota; Gammaproteobacteria; Enterobacterales; Erwiniaceae. The record is from RNAcentral.